Molecule: long non-coding RNA, 1065 nt
Filed under: Equus caballus (horse)
Lineage: Eukaryota; Metazoa; Chordata; Mammalia; Perissodactyla; Equidae
Description: lncRNA (ENSECAG00000049497.1)
Source: RNAcentral
AAGAAGAGCUUCUAAUACUUACUGAGCACUUACGUAAUAGUCACUGUUUUACUGUUUUGUGCAUAUUUACUUAUUUAAUCUUCACAUCAACUCGAGUGGAGUACAAUUAGUUCUCAGUAUUACAUACGUGCAAAUGGAGUCACAGAAGGUCAAGACAUUGAAAGCAGGCAGCUGACUACAAACCAGGAAGAGAGGGCUCAUCGGGAACCAAAUUGCUGGCAACUUGAUCUUGGAUUUCCCAGCCUCCAGAACUGGGAGGAAAGCCCAGGAUGUAUUAAUUGAUGCCCUUCCACAUGAAAAUAAACGGAAGAGGAAAGAAAGUUUACUAUCAACACUAUCAACAGCAAAACUUGGAAGAUGUCUGAGCUCUCUCACAUGCUAAGCAUCAACGGAUUAGUACAAUCACAUAGAUUCAUUUAGAAAUUUUCAAAGUGACAAUGAUUUUGGAGUAAUGCUUCAUUAACAUACACGUAGAAAAAUCUUCCUACCUGAGAGACACAUUUGCUGGGCCAAGGGGAAAUGGGAAUUUUUGGUCAAAGAGUGAGACUUUGGAGGUACAUGAUUGAUAUAGAGAUUCAUUCAUGUUGGUACAUGUGGCAGCAGCUUGUUCUUCUCCAUUGCUGAGUAAUAUUCCAUCGUAUGAAUAUGGCACAGUUCAAUUAUCCAUUCAUAUUUUGGAAGAUAUUUGGAUUGUUUCCAGUUUGGGCUAUUAUGACUAAAGCUGCUGAAGAUUAGCCCUGAGCUAACUACUGCCCGUCCUCCUCUCUUUGCUGGGGAAGCCUGGCCCUGAGCUAACAUCGUCCCCAUCUUCCUCUACUUUAUAUGUGGGACGCCUACCAUAGCAUGUCGUGCCAAGCCGUGCCAUGUCCACACCCGGGAUCCGAACCGGCGAACCCCAGGUCGCCAAGAAGCGGAACGUGCGAACUUAACCGCUGCUCAACCGGGCCGGCCCUGAGUUUCUACUUUCUGAUAGUGUACCAGACACUAUCUGCUGAAUAUUGCACAAGCUACUUUUCUCAAAAUUCCUCUGGCAAGGACUUCCAGUGCUCUUUUGAAUGAAAGUGG